ACUAUUCUUACCUCAUCUUCUAGAGACUGUAUGGAACCUUACAAAUGAUGAUGGCAAAUCCUCCAGGACCCUAUUGAACGGUUCUCUCCCUUGCCUUUAAGUUCUUCUCCCCAGCUAGGGUUCACAGGGCUACUUUCCUGACAAUCGGGUGAAGCUGACUAUAUGACCUCAGAUCUACCCUUCUCUCUUCGAUGCCCUGUUCUGGGACUGCAGAGGCUGACUCAUGGAUUUCACUGAUGAGCUGUCUUGCUAUUCAGGUUCCAGGUGGAUUUGGCUGAUGGAAGGAGAGGGAAUCAAGGCCAUCAAGCUCCAGAUGAUCCUCAGUGAGGGAUACUGCUCUCUCAGUAUUCAAGAGUCACCCUUCCACAGAGAACCCCUAGACUGCCCAUCAGUGGAAUAUGGAGAGGUAAAAUCCUGCCCCUGUCUCCUUUUUGACCUGGCUGGAUACCAUUUUCACCAAGAGAUUCACUCACAGAGUCACCCUGCCUUGACAGCUAGCAAGAGGCCAAGACCCACAGAACAAUGA
RNAcentral lists this long non-coding RNA (526 nucleotides) under Papio anubis (olive baboon). RNAcentral describes it as "lncRNA (ENSPANG00000044592.1)". Lineage: Eukaryota; Metazoa; Chordata; Mammalia; Primates; Cercopithecidae. The record is from RNAcentral.